RNAcentral lists this ribosomal RNA (457 nucleotides) under uncultured bacterium. RNAcentral describes it as "SSU rRNA". It matches the Rfam family "Bacterial small subunit ribosomal RNA", at positions 26 to 518 of the family's 1533-position model. The record is from RNAcentral.
AGAACGAACGCUGGCGGCAUGCCUAACACAUGCAAGUCGAACGAGACCCCCGUCUUCGGAUGGCGGGUCUAGUGGCGCACGGGUGCGUAACGCGUGGGAAUCUGCCCUUAGGUUCGGAAUAACAGUUAGAAAUGACUGCUAAUACCGGAUAAUGACGUAAGUCCAAAGAUUUAUCGCCUAGGGAUGAGCCCGCGUAAGAUUAGCUAGUUGGUGGGGUAAAGGCCUACCAAGGCAACGAUCUUUAGCUGGUCUGAGAGGAUGAUCAGCCACACUGGGACUGAGACACGGCCCAGACUCCUACGGGAGGCAGCAGUGGGGAAUAUUGGACAAUGGGCGAAAGCCUGAUCCAGCAAUGCCGCGUGAGUGAUGAAGCCUUAGGGUUGUAAAGCUCUUUUACCCGGGAUGAUAAUGACAGUACCGGAGAAUAAGCUCCGGCUAACUCCGUGCCAGCAGCCGC